This is a non-coding RNA of Phascolarctos cinereus (koala), 783 nucleotides long. The record is from RefSeq and is a predicted model, not a curated record. Lineage: Eukaryota; Metazoa; Chordata; Mammalia; Diprotodontia; Phascolarctidae.
UUGGGUGCAUUUCCUAUGAGGGCCCUGCCCUUUUUCUGGUGUACUGAUUAAUGUGAUUUUCUCUUCUUCUUCCCCCAAGUUCUAGGGCUGGGGAUGAGCUCACCAGCACCUGUGUGCCAUUCUGAAGACCUACUUCUACCUUCUUUGCUGAGGCUUCCAUCCAGGUGUCCCUCUAUCUUGGAGAUUUGGAAAUGUCUGCUUCAUCCAUAACCCCCACCCUCGGGCCCAGAUCUUGGCCACAUGUCAUCUAAUUUGAGCCCACUUCCAUCAACUGUGGACUGCACUUUGUGCAUGCACAAAUCACCUAACAUGGAAGCACCCACACAAGAGAGGAGAUGGACCAGCUCCUAGGAGAAGCUAUUCCGCAAUCCCCUAUUACAUUGGUGAGAAGAGCCUCUUUCAAAUGGCUCUAUCAGUAGGACAGAUGACAUCUUAAAAAACCACCAGACUGGGACAGCCUCUCUAUCUCUCAGCUGGCACUGGAGUAUUUGGACCCAGACUUGAGCCAUGGUGUCUGUGGAAGUGGGAUUCCAGAGCCUGAGGUGAUGUGGAGAGACAGAUUGUGUUCAUAUAUUUGUUAUGAUACCUUUGAAGUAAAUAUUCAUUUGUAAAAACUAACCUAACUGUUAAAUGCUUAAAUGGAACACCAUUGAUGGAGGUUGGAGGCAAUGGCAGAGACACCAAACACCCCAAACACCAUAAAGGGUACCAGUGAACCCUGGGGGAAUUGCAAAAGAAGAAAGGAAGGAAGGAAGAAAAAGGAAGGAAGGAAGCAAAGAAAGA